Molecule: unclassified non-coding RNA, 374 nt
Filed under: soil metagenome
Description: partial contains 5.8S ribosomal RNA, internal transcribed spacer 2, and large subunit ribosomal RNA
Rfam family: 5.8S ribosomal RNA (bases 1-120)
Source: RNAcentral
GAUGAAGAACGUAGCGAAAUGCGAUAAGUAAUGUGAAUUGCAGAAUUCAGUGAACCAUCGAAUCUUUGAACGCACAUUGCGCCCGGCAGUAAUCUGCCGGGCAUGCCUGUCCGAGCGUCAUUUCUCCCCUCGAGCGCAGCUUUCCCCCCCGGGGGAGGGCCGCGCCCGGUGUUGGGGCGCUACGGAGGAGCCCAGCGCUCCCCCGUAGGCCCCGAAAUGUAGUGGCGGUCCCGCCGCGGCGCCCCCUGCGUAGUAGUUUUACAACUCGCAUCGGGUCCCGGCGGAGGCCAGCCGUCAAACCCCCCAACUUCAAUAGUUUGACCUCGGAUCAGGUAGGGUUACCCGCUGAACUUAAGCAUAUCAUAAGCGGAGGA